AUGGCGCCGGAGGCGAAGAAGGAAGCCCCUGCCCCUCCUAAAGCUGAAGCCAAAGCAAAGGCUUUGAAGGCCAAGAAAGCAGUGUUGAAAGGUGUCCACAGCCACAAGAAAAAGAAGAUCCAGAUGAAGCCCACCUUCUGGCGGCCCAAAACACUGCGGCUCAGGAGGCAGCCCAAAUAUCCCCGGAAGAGCACCCCAGGAGAAACAAACUUGACCGCUAUGCCACCAUCAAAUUCCUCUCACCACCAAGUCAGCCAUGAGGAAAAUGGAAGACAACAACACACUGGUAUUCAUUGUGGAUGUCAAGACCAAAAAGCACCAAAUUAAACAGGCUGCGGAGAAGCUCUAUGACAUUGAUGUGGCUAAGGUCAAUACUCUGAUCAGGCCUGAUGGAGAGAAGAAGGCAUAUGUUCGACUGGCUCCUGACUGUGAUGCUUUGGAUGUUGCCAACAAAAUUGGGAUCAUCUAA
This 469-nucleotide long non-coding RNA is filed under the name Bos taurus (domestic cattle). RNAcentral's name for it is "long non-coding RNA NONBTAT019561". The record is from RNAcentral. Lineage: Eukaryota; Metazoa; Chordata; Mammalia; Artiodactyla; Bovidae.